Molecule: ribosomal RNA, 480 nt
Filed under: uncultured bacterium
Lineage: Bacteria
Description: bacterial SSU rRNA
Rfam family: Bacterial small subunit ribosomal RNA
Source: RNAcentral
AGAGUUUGAUCAUGGCUCAGGAUGAACGCUGGCGGCGUGCCUAAUACAUGCAAGUCGAGCGGUAAGGCCUCUUCGGAGGUACACGAGCGGCGGACGGCUGAGUAAUGCAUAGGAACGUACCCCAAACUGAGGGAUAAUUCACCGAAAGGUGGACUAAUACCGCAUGUGCUCUUCGGAGUAAAGCUUCGGCGGUUUGGGAGCGGCCUAUGUUCGAUUAGCUAGUUGGUGAGGUAAUGGCUCACCAAGGCGACGAUCGAUAGCGGGUCUGAGAGGAUGAUCCGCCAGACUGGAACUGAGACACGGUCCAGACUCCUACGGGAGGCAGCAGUAGGGAAUUUUCCACAAUGGGGGCAACCCUGAUGGAGCAACGCCGCGUGCAGGAUGAAGGCCUUCGGGUUGUAAACUGCUUUUCUCUGUGACGAUUAUGACAGUAGCAGAGGAAUAAGGAUCGGCUAACUCCGUGCCAGCAGCCGCGGUAAU